RNAcentral lists this ribosomal RNA (253 nucleotides) under uncultured bacterium. RNAcentral describes it as "partial 16S ribosomal RNA". It matches the Rfam family "Bacterial small subunit ribosomal RNA", at positions 524 to 776 of the family's 1533-position model. The record is from RNAcentral.
UACGGAGGGUGCAAGCGUUAAUCGGAAUCACUGGGCGUAAAGCGCGCGUAGGCGGCCUUUUAAGUCGGACGUGAAAGCCCUCGGCUCAACCGGGGAAUUGCGUUCGAUACUGGGAGGCUUGAGUCCUGGAGAGGGUGGCGGAAUUCCGGGUGUAGGAGUGAAAUCCGUAGAUAUCCGGAGGAACACCGGUGGCGAAGGCGGCCACCUGGACAGGUACUGACGCUGAGGCGCGAAAGCGUGGGGAGCAAACAGG